Molecule: non-coding RNA, 779 nt
Organism: Paramisgurnus dabryanus
Lineage: Eukaryota; Metazoa; Chordata; Actinopteri; Cypriniformes; Cobitidae
Source: RefSeq, a predicted model, not a curated record
GCGCCACAGACACCUAUCAGCCUUUUGUAAGGAGGAGCAGCUCGAGUGCGGUGCGGUCAGUAGCCCUUCAAAUUAGAAAAGUGAGGAUGAUCUUGUCAAUGCUGAGAUUUUCAUGCAUCAGCAGCCACUACAUCUGGAUCAGAUUGAACAAGAAACAGACAGCAAGGGUUGUCAGAUCAGAAGCAGAAUGACACACAAACACAAGAAACUUCACAGGCAGAUCAACAUGCAAUUUGAAGACGUGUGAUAAAAUACAGAGAGGUGAAGUAGUGUGUCUUUCCAGAUCCCCAAAUCAUUCCCCCUUAAAAGAUGAGCCUGAAGAGGAGAUUUGGGAAGAUGCUGUUUCAUAAGUCGCUUUGCCAGAUCACCUGUGGUCGGGAUGUCUGCUAACAAGAUGCCUUGCUGGUCUGAGCGAGUUUAAAGUCUUACACAGACAGUCUAGAAGUUCUGAAGUCCAUCUUCGAUUUCAUUGGACGCUUUAAGGUGUAGAAACAUCUCAGCAACCUCAAGAGAAAUUGGAGGCAACUGAGCUAAAUUGCAGAUGUUGUUUCAAAGGGUCUGAAUAUGUGUAAUGUAAAUAUGAUGUGUUUUCUUUUUUCAUACAUUUGCAAAAGUUUCUAAAAUUAAACACAACAGCUUUGUUCUUUCAUCAGAUGGCUAUGCAAUGUUUCAAGUCAGACUAUCAAAGAAAACGCAUCUUGCCCUGAUGUGCAAUAACAAGAUUUUUUUGUACAUGGGCUAAAAUGCAGCAUUUUUUGAAAAUUAAAUAUCUUGUUUUU